CCUACGGGUGGCAGCAGUGGGGGAUAUUGCACAAUGGGGGAAACCCUGAUGCAGCGACGCCGCGUGGGCGAAGAAGUAUUUCGGUAUGUAAAGCCCUAUCAGCAGGGAAGAAGAAAUGACGGUACCUGAGUAAGAAGCACCGGCUAACUACGUGCCAGCAGCCGCGGUAAUACGUAUGGUGCAAGCGUUAUCCGGAUUUAUUGGGUUUAAAGGGUGCGUAGGCGGAUUUUUAAGUCAGCGGUAAAAUGUCUGGGUCCAACCCGUGCCGGCCGUUGAAACUGGGGAUCUUGAGUGGGCGAGAGGUAUGCGGAAUGCGUGGUGUAGCGGUGAAAUGCAUAGAUAUCACGCAGAACUCCGAUUGCGAAGGCAGAUUACCGGCGCCCGACUGACGCUGAGGCACGAAAGCGUGGGGAGCGAACAGGAUUAGAUACCCUAGUAGUC
This 441-nucleotide ribosomal RNA is filed under the name uncultured bacterium. RNAcentral's name for it is "partial 16S ribosomal RNA". It matches the Rfam family "Bacterial small subunit ribosomal RNA", at positions 338 to 795 of the family's 1533-position model. The record is from RNAcentral.